GGAAUAUUGGUCAAUGGGCGUAAGCCUGAACCAGCCAAGUCGCGUGAGGGAGGACGGCCCUACGGGUUGUAAACCUCUUUUGCCGGGGGACAAACGUCGGCACGCGUGCCGUCCUGAGGGUACCCGGAGAAAAAGCAUCGGCUAACUCCGUGCCAGCAGCCGCGGUAAUACGUAGGGGGCAAGCGUUAUCCGGAUUUACUGGGUGUAAAGGGAGCGUAGACGGCAGCACAAGUCUGGAGUGAAAUGCCGGGGCUUAACCCCGGAACUGCUUUGGAAACUGUGCAGCUAGAGUGCAGGAGAGGUAAGUGGAAUUCCUAGUGUAGCGGUGGAAUGCGUAGAUAUUAGGAGGAACACCAGUGGCGAAGGCGGGUUGCUAGACUGUAACUGACACUGAGGCACGAAAGCGUGGGGAGCAAACAG
Molecule: ribosomal RNA, 420 nt
Filed under: uncultured bacterium
Lineage: Bacteria
Description: bacterial SSU rRNA
Rfam family: Bacterial small subunit ribosomal RNA
Source: RNAcentral